This 505-nucleotide ribosomal RNA is filed under the name uncultured bacterium. RNAcentral describes it as "partial 16S ribosomal RNA". It matches the Rfam family "Bacterial small subunit ribosomal RNA", at positions 28 to 507 of the family's 1533-position model. The record is from RNAcentral.
GACGAACGCUGGCGGCGUGCCUAAUACAUGCAAGUAGAACGCACAGUUUAUACCAUAGCUUGCUACACCAUAGACUGUGAGUUGCGAACGGGUGAGUAACGCGUAGGUAACCUGCCUGGUAGCGGGGGAUAACUAUUGGAAACGAUAGCUAAUACCGCAUAAUAUUAAUUAUUGCAUGAUAAUUAAUUGAAAGGUGCAAUUGCACCACUACCAGAUGGACCUGCGUUGUAUUAGCUAGUAGGUGAGGUAACGGCUCACCUAGGCGACGAUACAUAGCCGACCUGAGAGGGUGAUCGGCCACACUGGGACUGAGACACGGCCCAGACUCCUACGGGAGGCAGCAGUAGGGAAUCUUCGGCAAUGGACGAAAGUCUGACCGAGCAACGCCGCGUGAGUGAAGAAGGUUUUCGGAUCGUAAAGCUCUGUUGUAAGAGAAGAACGGGUGUGAGAGUGGAAAGUUCACACUGUGACGGUAUCUUACCAGAAAGGGACGGCUAACUACGUG